CCUACGGGAGGCAGCAGUGAGGAAUAUUGGUCAAUGGGCGCGAGCCUGAACCAGCCAAGUAGCGUGAAGGAUGACUGCCCUACGGGUUGUAAACUUCUUUUAUAGAGGAAUAAAGUGAGGCACGUAUGCCCUUUUGUAUUUACUUUAUGAAUAAGGAUCGUCUAACUCCGUGCCAGCAGCCGCGGUAAUACGGAGGAUCCGAGCGUUAGCCGGAUUUAUUGGGUUUAAAGGGAGCGUAGGUGGGUUGUUAAGUCAGUUGUGAAAGUUUGCGGCUCAACCGGAGAAUUGCAAUUGAUACUGGCAGCCUUGAGUACAGUUGAGGUAGGCGGAAUUCGUGGUGUAGCGGUGAAAUGCUUAGAUAUCACGAAGAACUCCGAUUGCGAAGGCAGCUUACUAAACUGCCACUGACAUUGAUGCGCGAAAGUGUGGGUAUCAAACAGGAUUAGAUACCCGAGUAGUC
This 460-nucleotide ribosomal RNA is filed under the name uncultured bacterium. Its description in RNAcentral is "partial 16S ribosomal RNA". It matches the Rfam family "Bacterial small subunit ribosomal RNA", at positions 338 to 795 of the family's 1533-position model. The record is from RNAcentral.